UGCAAGUCGAGCGGACAGAUGGGAGCUUGCUCCCUGAUGUUAGCGGCGGACGGGUGAGUAACACGUGGGUAACCUGCCUGUAAGACUGGGAUAACUCCGGGAAACCGGGGCUAAUACCGGAUGGUUGUUUGAACCGCAUGGUUCAAACAUAAAAGGUGGCUUCGGCUACCACUUACAGAUGGACCCGCGGCGCAUUAGCUAGUUGGUGAGGUAACGGCUCACCAAGGCGACGAUGCGUAGCCGACCUGAGAGGGUGAUCGGCCACACUGGGACUGAGACACGGCCCAGACUCCUACGGGAGGCAGCAGUAGGGAAUCUUCCGCAAUGGACGAAAGUCUGACGGAGCAACGCCGCGUGAGUGAUGAAGGUUUUCGGAUCGUAAAGCUCUGUUGUUAGGGAAGAACAAGUACCGUUCGAAUAGGGCGGUACCUUGACGGUACCUAACCAGAAAGCCACGGCUAACUACGUGCCAGCAGCCGCGGUAAUACGUAGGUGGCAAGCGUUGUCCGGAAUUAUUGGGCGUAAAGGGCUCGCAGGCGGUUUCUUAAGUCUGAUGUGAAAGCCCCCGGCUCAACCGGGGAGGGUCAUUGGAAACUGGGGAACUUGAGUGCAGAAGAGGAGAGUGGAAUUCCACGUGUAGCGGUGAAAUGCGUAGAGAUGUGGAGGAACACCAGUGGCGAAGGCGACUCUCUGGUCUGUAACUGACGCUGAGGAGCGAAAGCGUGGGGAGCGAACAGGAUUAGAUACCCUGGUAGUCCACGCCGUAAACGAUGAGUGCUAAGUGUUAGGGGGUUUCCGCCCCUUAGUGCUGCAGCUAACGCAUUAAGCACUCCGCCUGGGGAGUACGGUCGCAAGACUGAAACUCAAAGGAAUUGACGGGGGCCCGCACAAGCGGUGGAGCAUGUGGUUUAAUUCGAAGCAACGCGAAGAACCUUACCAGGUCUUGACAUCCUCUGACAAUCCUAGAGAUAGGACGUCCCCUUCGGGGGCAGAGUGACAGGUGGUGCAUGGUUGUCGUCAGCUCGUGUCGUGAGAUGUUGGGUUAAGUCCCGCAACGAGCGCAACCCUUGAUCUUAGUUGCCAGCAUUCAGUUGGGCACUCUAAGGUGACUGCCGGUGACAAACCGGAGGAAGGUGGGGAUGACGUCAAAUCAUCAUGCCCCUUAUGACCUGGGCUACACACGUGCUACAAUGGACAGAACAAAGGGCAGCGAAACCGCGAGGUUAAGCCAAUCCCACAAAUCUGUUCUCAGUUCGGAUCGCAGUCUGCAACUCGACUGCGUGAAGCUGGAAUCGCUAGUAAUCGCGGAUCAGC
RNAcentral lists this ribosomal RNA (1314 nucleotides) under Bacillus subtilis. RNAcentral describes it as "bacterial SSU rRNA". It matches the Rfam family "Bacterial small subunit ribosomal RNA", at positions 56 to 1353 of the family's 1533-position model. The record is from RNAcentral. Lineage: Bacteria; Bacillati; Bacillota; Bacilli; Caryophanales; Bacillaceae.